Pelodiscus sinensis (Chinese soft-shelled turtle) is the source of this 916-nucleotide non-coding RNA. Lineage: Eukaryota; Metazoa; Chordata; Testudines; Trionychidae. The record is from RefSeq and is a predicted model, not a curated record.
GUGAAUAGCUGGAGCUGUUAUGCAAACCCUUGCUUAUUUCAGUGGUUUGGGGUGAGUAGACUUUUAAUUGAGAAAUCCUUAUAGAAUCAAAGUGCUGCAUUAUCAUCAGUUUUGGUUCAUCUCAACACACAACACUGAAUUGUGCAAGAUGUGGAAACCAGGCAGGAGUGUCUAGAUGCAGCUUGAUUAGCUGAGGACUAGGAAAAGAACAGCAUCUUGAAUGCUUACUACUUAUAAAUAAAUGCCUUAACUUUUUUUUCAAUGGGGGUGGAUGUUUUUUGAAAAUCUGAUGUGUGUCACUUCUUAAUUCUAAUAAACAUAUUUGGGAUGGGGGGAAAACAUUAAAAUUAUCUCUCCCUGUGCACCAUCCUGACUGCUGAGAUUGGCUAAGGUGCUGCUGGUGAUUUCCAUUCUUGGUGGUGGGGUCUCAGCUGCAGAUUACAUUCCUCUGAUGAGCCACUGGAGCCUCUUCAUGGUGCAACAUUUACCUGUUAUAGCAGGCAUGUAUUUCAUUUCGUUUAAAAGCUGUUAAGAAAUAGAAAUAACUGAAAAACCUGUUUAGAAGAGACACAGACACUCCCUCAAGUAUGAUUCCAUGGGGCUAAAUCUGCAGUCCUAAAUUAAGCAAGAGCCUAGUGGGACAAAUGGAGGCCCAAGGCCUGGAGAGAUGGAAGGGACGGAGUGACAGUCUUCUAGUUCCUUUGUUACCAUAAACAGAGAAUAGAAGAUUAUGGACUAUAGAGAAUCAGACAGCUAGCAAGUCAAAGCAACUGUUUGUUUGGUGACCAGAAUAUUUUGUUCUGACUAGUUCAUGAAUGAAAGAAAUCAUUAUAGCUAUAAAUGACGAAUCCCUCUAUUUGAUUGUGCAAUUUACUCUUUCUAAACAAGGGGUGUGUUUCUAUUAGAGCUAAGAUUU